AUGACUGCAGAUCUGGCUGUCAUCUGGACAGCAGCCUGAGCGACAGCCUGGGCCACAGGGCCCACGGAGUGGUGGCCAGGCUCCUGAGCCACAGACACGGUGAGUCCUGAAGGCUAAGGACUGAAUCCGGUCCCUCUCAAAUCUGCAUGUUGAAGGCCUACCCUGCACUGUGGUUAUAUUUGGAGAUGUAGCCUUUAGGGAGGUAAUUGAGAUUAAAACUGAGGUCCAAGGGGGAGCCUGAUCUGCUAGGACUGGUGCCCUUGCCAGAGGAGCGAGACGGACACCAGGGCUGCACGUGGAGAGAAAUGUGCAUGAGGACGGUGAGAAGGUGGCCCACGGGAGAGACCGUGAGAGGAAGUGAACCUGCUGAUACCCUCAUCUCGGUUUUCUAGCUUCCAGAAACCUGAGAGAAUAAAUAAACUUCCAGUCCGUGGUGCCCUGUUAUGAUACCCUCAGCUGACUGAUACAAGCUGCUCAGUUUGGGGGUCAUUUGUUACACAGCAAAGGACGACAAAUACAACCAUCAGCCGACACUGCACUCCCAUUCCCUCUGGGCUGGGAGCCGGGUAGAACAAGACCAAAGCCCUGGCCCAUAAGAAUGGAUCUCAGUCCACACGGAAAGACAAACACAGAAGAUGAAGUAAAAGGCUAGGGUGGGAGAAGACCCCUCAGGACGAAGACACCGCUUGGGGAGACGUGGAUGCAGGAGAGACCACGACACAUGGUCCUGCCCGCUCUGUGCUCCCCCUGGGGACACAGGCUCGGCCUUCUCAGAUACAGCAUCCUCUCCACGUUGUAGCUGAUGCGUGGACGCCGAAAGAGGUUAUGUUGGCUGAGGUCCCGAAGCUCAUCCCGGAGUCGCCAGGAUUCACGGGCAGGUCUGCAAGGGGAGAAGAGAAGAGCUCCUUGGAGGGUGUCAGCUCCUCAGGGGUCAGGCAGAGGGAGAAGCCAGGAGGGACACAGAGGCACCGUGGGAAUGAUAGGAGGAGAUUAAUAUUUCCCCAGAAUCAAAGAUAAGAGCUUUUCUCGGUUGGAAUCGUGUUCGAUGCCCAAGACAGCCGAGACCUCAGGGAUCCGAUCUGCACUGCAGGUGGGACCUACCCCACAGUGGCAACGGCAGAUCCUUCAACCGCUGUGCUGGGCUGGGCAGAGAACCUGUGUCCCGGCGCUGCAGAGACCCGGACGAUCCCAUUGCACCACAGCAGGAACGCCAACAGUACAGCUAAGUAGAUAUUUCGACUGGAUAAGUUGUGGGCACGAGCGGGUAUGAAGAUUAUAAAUUAAUACCGUAAGAGAGCUUCCACGGUCCUUGCACCAUGGUGCUCAUCGAAUCCGAAAUCUUCUUCGUCUGAAAUCUGAAAACAUGUUUCCAAUGCAGAUGAAGCUCUCCAUCCUGCAUCCUGCAGAGGCGUCCUGCGGCUCCUGCAGACAGAAGGCAGGCAGAGGACAUGGGGAGAGGGCCAUAGGGUCCUGUUCCAUUUCAAGAAGAGAGAGAGAAUCUUCAAUUAUAAUUAUUGUCUUAAUGUUAUGGAGCUUCAUUGUAAAACAAAAGCAGCAUAUCCUGUACUUUUUCAGAAAAUCAUAACUGUGUUAUCACCCGAAGUAGAACCAUUUAGUUUAUACAUAUUGAGAUGGUGUCAUUAUCAGAUGUCGUCUGGAAGCCCUAAAAUGGCUUUUAAAACCAUCUCUUUGGUUUGUAAUAAAAGUCCAGCAUGUCUGGGUAUCAUGUCCCCAUGUUACAUGGGGUUGUUGUCUUCAGAACUGGUUAUCUGCCCUGACGUGAUGGUUCUCAGAUGAAGAGGCAAUGGCAUUUCACCAGAGGAUGCAGUCUUGCCCAAAGGCUCUUUAUGUAUCAAAUAUCAACUCGAUUUGCCUAAUACAGACUUUCUUUGCAAACACGUCCACCUGGCCCUUAAUGAAGAGUUUAAUGAUUCUGACUCCAACUAGCAAAGCUGCUGCAAGACAAACAGCCCUUAUUUUCUAAAGACUGAGUCCCAAGGCUAAGCAGCCACCCUGGGACCGAACCUGGAGGGCAGAGCACAGUUUGUGACUUGAAUAAUUUCUUUUUCCUUCUGCCGUGGGCGUUAGCCACCAGUCUUCAGCUCAGACACUAGACUUGGAUGUUACAGAAUAUUGGUGAUGCUGUAAUUAUCAGAAGAGCCGGUUCCCUCCUUGUGAAGAGAGCUGAGUGGAAGACGGGGGGCACUUCCAGGGACCCCGGGCAGCCCUGAUUUAUCCGAUUCAUGGGUCGACCUCUGCUUAGCUGUAUUUGUUGUUCAUAAGUAAGCAUUUCUUUUUGUUUAUUUUUUGGCCUUUAUUUUUUUUAAUGAAAAUAUUUUUAUUAUAGGAGUUCCCAUCAUGGCCCAGUGGUUACUGAAUCCGACUAGUAUUCAUGAGGAUGUGGGUUCAACCCCUGGCCUCACUCAGUGGCUCGAGGAUCCGGUGUUGCCAUGAGCUGUGGUGUAGGUUGCAGAUGUAGCUUGGAUCCUGCGUUGCUGUGGCUGUGGUGUAGGCCGGCUGCUACAGCUGCAAUUCAACCCCUAGCCUGGGAACCUCCAUAUGCCACAGGUACUGCCCUAAAAAGACAAAAGACAAAAAAAAAUUAUUAUAGUGGAUUUGAAAUGUUCUGUCAAUUUCUGCUGCACAGCAAAGUGACCCAGUUAUACACAUAUGCGCACACACACACACACACACAUAUAUACACAUUCUCUCUUUGUCUCACGUUACCUUCUAUCACGUUCUGUCACAGUGAUUGGAUAGAGUUCCCUGGGCUGUACAGCAGGACCUCAUUGUUUAUCUAGUCUAAAUAUAAUAGUUUGCAUCUACUAACCCCAAACUCCCAGUCCAUCCCACUUCCUCCCCCUCCCCCUUGGCAACCACUAGUCUUUUCUCCACGUCCUGAAUUUGUUUCUGUUCUGUAGGUAGGUUCAUUGGUGCCAUAGUUUAGAUUCCAGAUAUAAGUGAGACCAUAUGGAAUUUGUCUUUUUCUUUCUGACUUACUUCACUUAGUAUGAGACUCUCUAGUUGCAUCCAUCUUGCUGCAAAUGGCAUUAUUUUGUUCUUUUUUAUGGCUGAGUCGUAUUCCAUUGUGCAUAUGAACCACAUAUUUUAAUCCAUUCAUCUCUUGAUCAACAUUUAGGUUGUUUCCAAGUCUUGGCUAUUGUGAAUAGUGCUGCUAUGAACAUAGGGGUGUGUGCAUCUUUUUGAAUGAAAGUUUUUCCAGGAUGUAUACCCAGGAGUGGGAUUGCUGGAUCACAUGAUAGUUCUAUAUUUAGUUUUCGGAGGUAUCUCCACACUGUUUUCCAUACUAGGUGUACCAAUUUAUAAGUAAACAUUUCAGUACCCCUUGACUGGAUGAUUUUAAAGGUUUCUCCCAGGCCUUAUGCUUUAUAAUUCUGCUCCCCUAGAUCUAGGGACUUUGCAGGACCAGUCAUUUUCUAUUCCUAGCUUCAGGCUUUGCUGAAUCUCUUCUCCAGCCAACCCCCAUCUAAGAAUCACCUAUUGGGAGGCAUUUGGAUGGAGAUAUUACAAGAAAGACAUGUUUUUGUAGCAAUUGUGUUUCCCAAUACACUAACCCAAAGCAUUAAAAAAAAAAAAUUCUUUGGACUCGGUUGAAUCCAACCCCCCCUCCCAGCUCAGGACCAUCUUCCAAGAGUUCAACAUGCUUUUUAGUCUUGCAUCUCUGCAAAUGCGGAGAAUAACUGUCUUUAAAUAGUGGCUGAUCUUCGUCUCAUUAAUUUCCUGCUCCGAAAACCGAGAUGCCUUGUAAUUAUCCAGCUGUAGGAACACAUAGGAUGGUACUAAAUUUUGUUUAAGUACAGUCUAUUUUGAAAACGGAAGCCAAAGUCUAUAAUUAGCUUGGCAUUAACGUUUGAGAGCUGUGCUAUCUGGGAGGCUGCGGUGGCCGGGACCCUGGCGGAGGGCAGGCUGUCUGGGGAAGGCAGCAGAAAGCCUUAUCUCGGAGGGCGUCCUCCGGUGUGUAGGACUCCACGUGGCCGCCUUUGCCCGAAGAAGCCAGCGCCCCUGUCUUAGGAGCAAGCGUCGGCACAGGUACAUGAAAGCGAGGGCUAAUCAGAUUGCCUUGUUCCCGAAUGACCCAGUGCGAGAAAAUAGUCCAUCUUUGCCCAUUUACCUGAAUAAACAUCCGGUGCUUCUUCCCCUAAUGAGGGCCAAGAGAACCCAGCAGACAGUCAGGGAAAAGUGCUUGCCUCGACCUGUGGUCUGGCUGUAAUUGGGAUGAAAAGUCACUGCUGAUUUCCUGACAAGCUGUUGUUUCUAUUUCCAGCCCUGAUUUUUAAAACCUCCCCAGGGUGGCUGUUGUCUGGCUCAUGCUGACACUGGGGCAAGAAGAAAGUAAACAUUUUCUGCUGACGAGUGGCUUGAAGCUUCCCGCAUAUCCUUAAGAAACAAAAUGAUAUGGUCAGUUGCUAGAGGGCGGGCCAGUAUUGCAGCUCUUUUGACCUCUACGAGGGGGACUGUCAGACUUGGUCGCAGGGAGGAAACCAAUCCUAAUUACUAUUAAUGAGAUUCAUGAUACCACGGAAUCUCCCAGCAAUGAAUUUUAAAUGUCCCUUGUCAGUUUUUCUAUCAACACGGCACAGCAGAAAACAUCUGCUCCAGGGCCCCGUGGAGUUGCAUCCUUAUUAGCUGAUACUGUUAAUCUAUUUAUCUGGGGACCUGCAUGUGGGUAGAUGAGGGAUCAAUCUUGCCUUCAAACCCACUUUCCCCCCAAAGCUAAAAGCUCGGGUGUUUGUGUGGUAUGUUUUAGAAAUCAUAUAUUAAAAAUAAUUGAAAGGGAUUACACACUGAUGGCUUUUUUUCCCUUUUCUUUUCUUCCCAUUUGGACUAAGACACAUCAUCCUCAUCAUUUCUUGUUAUCAGAUGGGGAAAGCCCUCCGCUGGUAGAUUUCAGAAGAAUCAAGCCUUUUUCGAAAUUGAUUUUUUAUUAGGGUAGAGUUGAUUUACAGUGUGGAGCCAAUGUCUGCUGCACCGCACAGUGACCCCGUCACACACGUGUAUACACACUCUUCCUCUCGUAUUAUCUUCCAUCACGUCCAUCCGAAGAGAUCAGACAGAGUUCCCUGCGCUGUUCAGCAGGACCUCCUUGCGUAUCCAUUGCCCAUGCAGUAAUUUGCUUCUACUAACCCCAAACUCCCCGUCCAUCCGACUUCUUCCCCCUCCCCCUUGGCAAGCACAAGUCUGUUCUCUAUGUCACUGAGUCUGUGUCUGUUUUGUCACUAAUUAUUAGAGAAAUGCCCAUCAAAAUCAAGUCUUUUGGGGACCAACACAAUUCCAAUUCUUUUGGAGCCUGAGUAGAACCCUCUGAGAAGUUCCUAUCUUGAAAAUCGAUGUCCAAUAAAAAUGGAACAUGAGGGAGUUCCCGUCGUGGCGCAGCGGAAAUGAACCUGACUAGGAACCAUGAGGUUGCAGGUUCGAUCCCUGGCCUCGCUCAGCGGGUUAAGGAUCCAGUGUUGCUGUGAACUGUGGUGUAGGUUGCAGAUGCAGCUCAGAUCCCUCGUUGCUAUGGCUGUGGUGUAGGCCGGCAGCUGCAACUCCAAUUCGAACUCUAGCCUGGGAACCUCCAUGUGCUGUGGGUGCGGCCUUCAAAAGACAAAACAAAACAAAACAAAAAAAUAGAACGUGAGCCACACAUGUGAUGUUAAAUUCUCAGUAGCCCCAAACUCAAAAAUAAGACAACAUAUGUGACAUCAGCUUUCAUAAUGUUAUAUUUAAGCCAAUAGUCCUAAAAUAGUUUUGUCAACCUGUAACAGACAUAAACAUCGUAAAUGACCUGUUUUACUUUCUCUUCCUGGAUUCUGCCCUUAUCACCCUUUGCCACCCGCAUCGCAAGAACUCAGCGGACGGACGUCUCUGCUGGCGCCCACGCUGGACAGCAGUGGUCCUGCGGAAGGGCUUCCGGAGAGAAACUGAAAGGCAACGAUUUGAAACAAAAACAAGACAUCGCUCACACUUAAACUUAUUGAGAGAAAAUGUUUGCUAUUGAAUUUCUUUAGAACGGAUUAUACGUCUUAAAGAUUUUGACGCUUACUUUUCUAAAAUUUGAAAGAUGUGUCAGUGCUAAAAAAUACAAACUUGCUUUUGUGUUGUUGGCCAUCCCUGCGGUACACAGGCGUUCCCACGCCUGGGAUCAAACCUGCACCACAGCAGUAAUAACAUCGGAUACUGAACCCCCUACGCCACCAGGGAACUCCAAUACAAACUUUUUAAAGGAUGUUUUUAAAAGAUGAGACUUUACUAAAUGAAUUAGGGAUGAAUUGCAUUUGUCAAAAUGGCUCCGGCUCUUUAGAAAUACCUACAUCCAGCCAAAGGUUUCAGUGGGUGUAAAACAAUUUAAAAUUUCCACGCUUAAAGACAGUUUCUCUCUACUUAUAUUGCAUGUAGAAAUUAAGCAAUUUAACACAGUAAAAUAAAGUUUUUAUAGUACUUUUAAUUAGUCAAAUAUAACUGGAAAUGUUCAUAAAAAUAUUUAAAAAUUGGAUUA
RNAcentral lists this long non-coding RNA (6502 nucleotides) under Sus scrofa (pig). RNAcentral's name for it is "lncRNA (ENSSSCG00055009562.1)". The record is from RNAcentral. Lineage: Eukaryota; Metazoa; Chordata; Mammalia; Artiodactyla; Suidae.